RNAcentral lists this ribosomal RNA (663 nucleotides) under uncultured Alphaproteobacteria bacterium. Its description in RNAcentral is "bacterial SSU rRNA". It matches the Rfam family "Bacterial small subunit ribosomal RNA", at positions 48 to 758 of the family's 1533-position model. Lineage: Bacteria; Pseudomonadati; Pseudomonadota; Alphaproteobacteria. The record is from RNAcentral.
CUAACACAUGCAAGUCGAACGGGCUCUUCGGAGCAGUGGCGGACGGGUGAGUAACGCGUGGGAACGUGCCCUUUGGUUCGGAACAACACAGGGAAACUUGUGCUAAUACCGGAUGUGCCCUUCGGGGGAAAGAUUUAUCGCCAUUGGAGCGGCCCGCGUUGGAUUAGGUAGUUGGUGGGGUAAUGGCCCACCAAGCCGACGAUCCAUAGCUGGUCUGAGAGGAUGAUCAGCCACACUGGGACUGAGACACGGCCCAGACUCCUACGGGAGGCAGCAGUGGGGAAUCUUGCGCAAUGGGCGAAAGCCUGACGCAGCCAUGCCGCGUGAAUGAUGAAGGUCUUAGGAUUGUAAAAUUCUUUCACCGGGGAAGAUAAUGACGGUACCCGGAGAAGAAGCCCCGGCUAACUUCGUGCCAGCAGCCGCGGUAAUACGAAGGGGGCUAGCGUUGCUCGGAAUUACUGGGCGUAAAGGGCGCGUAGGCGGACAGUUAAGUCAGAGGUGAAAGCCCAGGGCUCAACCUUGGAAUUGCCUUUGAUACUGGCUGUCUUGAGUUCGGGAGAGGUGAGUGGAAUGCCGAGUGUAGAGGUGAAAUUCGUAGAUAUUCGGCGGAACACCAGUGGCGAAGGCGACUCACUGGCCCGAUACUGACGCUGAGGCGCGAAA